UGGGCGUCUCGACAGUUGGCGACGGUGGUCCGGCGUUGUUGUGCGCUGUUUGCGAGCUCUCAUGGCCUUUAGCUGAACAGUUUAGCUGGUGGUAACAGCCCUAAAUCUGUGGAGUCGCCUGGUCGGCGUUGUGUAUGUGCACGCGACAUUGCUCCUGGUCCGUGUGAGCAAGCCAUUUGCCGGGCUGGCUGUCUCGCUCUUGCCUGUGGGCUGACUAUGUGUGCGCUGUGGAACCGUGUGGUGAUCCGCUGCACUGCUGCCUUGGCGGAGGUUUGAACGGUGGCUUGGUCCGUCUGCCUCGUGUCUUGGCUUUGGAUUUCUCUCUCUCGCCCUGUGGGAUUGCUCCCUGCCUGGUUGGCCCAGUUCCGGCUCUGUCUUGGCUCUAAGCGGGCUUGCCGGUUUUAGUAUUUCUUUGCUGUUUGGGUCUAAUUAUAGUAUAUAUAAACAGUUGGCAUUUUG
Molecule: long non-coding RNA, 459 nt
Organism: Micropterus dolomieu (smallmouth bass)
Lineage: Eukaryota; Metazoa; Chordata; Actinopteri; Centrarchiformes; Centrarchidae
Exons: 3
Source: RefSeq, a predicted model, not a curated record